This 510-nucleotide ribosomal RNA is filed under the name uncultured bacterium. RNAcentral describes it as "partial 16S ribosomal RNA". It matches the Rfam family "Bacterial small subunit ribosomal RNA", at positions 28 to 507 of the family's 1533-position model. The record is from RNAcentral.
GACGAACGCUGGCGGCGUGCUUAACACAUGCAAGUCGAACGAAGAGCGAUGGAAGCUUGCUUCUAUCAAUCUUAGUGGCGAACGGGUGAGUAACGCGUAAUCAACCUGCCCUUCAGAGGGGGACAACAGUUGGAAACGACUGCUAAUACCGCAUACGAUCUAAUCUCGGCAUCGAGGAUAGAUGAAAGGUGGCCUCUACAUGUAAGCUAUCACUGAAGGAGGGGAUUGCGUCUGAUUAGCUAGUUGGAGGGGUAACGGCCCACCAAGGCGAUGAUCAGUAGCCGGUCUGAGAGGAUGAACGGCCACAUUGGGACUGAGACACGGCCCAGACUCCUACGGGAGGCAGCAGUGGGGAAUCUUCCGCAAUGGACGAAAGUCUGACGGAGCAACGCCGCGUGAGUGAUGACGGCCGUCGGGUUGUAAAGCUCUGUUAAUCGGGACGAAAGGCCUUCUUGCGAAUAGUGAGAAGGAUUGACGGUACCGGAAUAGAAAGCCACGGCUAACUACGUG